AACGAACGCUGGCGGCAUGCCUAACACAUGCAAGUCGAACGAGACCUUCGGGUCUAGUGGCGCACGGGUGCGUAACGCGUGGGAACCUGCCCUUAGGUUCGGAAUAACUCCCCGAAAGGGGUGCUAAUACCGGAUAAUGUCUUCGGACCAAAGAUUUAUCGCCUUUGGAUGGGCCCGCGUUGGAUUAGCUAGUUGGUAGGGUAAAAGCCUACCAAGGCGACGAUCCAUAGCUGGUCUGAGAGGAUGAUCAGCCACACUGGGACUGAGACACGGCCCAGACUCCUACGGGAGGAAGAAGUGGGGAAUAUUGGACAAUGGGCGAAAGCCUGAUCCAGCAAUGCCGCGUGAGUGAUGAAGGCCUUAGGGUUGUAAAGCUCUUUUACCCGGGAUGAUAAUGACAGUACCGGGAGAAUAAGCUCCGGCUAACUCCGUG
RNAcentral lists this ribosomal RNA (433 nucleotides) under uncultured bacterium. Its description in RNAcentral is "partial 16S ribosomal RNA". It matches the Rfam family "Bacterial small subunit ribosomal RNA", at positions 29 to 507 of the family's 1533-position model. The record is from RNAcentral.